CCGAUACAAUGAUGAUCCCAUAGUUCAGCAGAUUGAUCAGUGACGAAGAUAGAGCAAAUGUCUUUCGCUCCUAUCUGAUGUGUCGG
This is a small nucleolar RNA of Limanda limanda (common dab), 86 nucleotides long. RefSeq annotates it as small nucleolar RNA snR60/Z15/Z230/Z193/J17. The transcript has a single exon. NCBI's taxonomy places the organism in Eukaryota, Metazoa, Chordata, Actinopteri, Pleuronectiformes, Pleuronectidae. The record is from RefSeq and is a predicted model, not a curated record.